This 253-nucleotide ribosomal RNA is filed under the name uncultured bacterium. Its description in RNAcentral is "partial 16S ribosomal RNA". It matches the Rfam family "Bacterial small subunit ribosomal RNA", at positions 524 to 776 of the family's 1533-position model. The record is from RNAcentral.
UACGAAGGGGGCGAGCGUUGUUCGGAAUCACUGGGCGUAAAGGGCGCGUAGGCGGCCCUCCUUGUCGCGUGUGAAAGCCCCGGGCUCAACCUGGGAACGGCGCGCGAGACGGGGGGGCUGGAGUUCGGGAGAGGAGCGUGGAAUUCCCAGUGUAGAGGUGAAAUUCGUAGAUAUCAGGAGGAACACCGGUGGCGAAGGCGGAUCUCUGGGCCUUACCUGACGCUGAGGCGCGAAAGCUAGGGGAGCAAACAGG